This 2903-nucleotide ribosomal RNA is filed under the name Escherichia coli TW14425. RNAcentral describes it as "bacterial LSU rRNA". It matches the Rfam family "Bacterial large subunit ribosomal RNA". Lineage: Bacteria; Pseudomonadati; Pseudomonadota; Gammaproteobacteria; Enterobacterales; Enterobacteriaceae. The record is from RNAcentral.
UUAAGCGACUAAGCGUACACGGUGGAUGCCCUGGCAGUCAGAGGCGAUGAAGGACGUGCUAAUCUGCGAUAAGCGUCGGUAAGGUGAUAUGAACCGUUAUAACCGGCGAUUUCCGAAUGGGGAAACCCAGUGUGUUUCGACACACUAUCAUUAACUGAAUCCAUAGGUUAAUGAGGCGAACCGGGGGAACUGAAACAUCUAAGUACCCCGAGGAAAAGAAAUCAACCGAGAUUCCCCCAGUAGCGGCGAGCGAACGGGGAGCAGCCCAGAGCCUGAAUCAGUGUGUGUGUUAGUGGAAGCGUCUGGAAAGGCGCGCGAUACAGGGUGACAGCCCCGUACACAAAAAUGCACAUGCUGUGAGCUCGAUGAGUAGGGCGGGACACGUGGUAUCCUGUCUGAAUAUGGGGGGACCAUCCUCCAAGGCUAAAUACUCCUGACUGACCGAUAGUGAACCAGUACCGUGAGGGAAAGGCGAAAAGAACCCCGGCGAGGGGAGUGAAAAAGAACCUGAAACCGUGUACGUACAAGCAGUGGGAGCACGCUUAGGCGUGUGACUGCGUACCUUUUGUAUAAUGGGUCAGCGACUUAUAUUCUGUAGCAAGGUUAACCGAAUAGGGGAGCCGAAGGGAAACCGAGUCUUAACUGGGCGUUAAGUUGCAGGGUAUAGACCCGAAACCCGGUGAUCUAGCCAUGGGCAGGUUGAAGGUUGGGUAACACUAACUGGAGGACCGAACCGACUAAUGUUGAAAAAUUAGCGGAUGACUUGUGGCUGGGGGUGAAAGGCCAAUCAAACCGGGAGAUAGCUGGUUCUCCCCGAAAGCUAUUUAGGUAGCGCCUCGUGAAUUCAUCUCCGGGGGUAGAGCACUGUUUCGGCAAGGGGGUCAUCCCGACUUACCAACCCGAUGCAAACUGCGAAUACCGGAGAAUGUUAUCACGGGAGACACACGGCGGGUGCUAACGUCCGUCGUGAAGAGGGAAACAACCCAGACCGCCAGCUAAGGUCCCAAAGUCAUGGUUAAGUGGGAAACGAUGUGGGAAGGCCCAGACAGCCAGGAUGUUGGCUUAGAAGCAGCCAUCAUUUAAAGAAAGCGUAAUAGCUCACUGGUCGAGUCGGCCUGCGCGGAAGAUGUAACGGGGCUAAACCAUGCACCGAAGCUGCGGCAGCGACGCUGAUGCGUUGUUGGGUAGGGGAGCGUUCUGUAAGCCUGUGAAGGUGUGCUGUGAGGCAUGCUGGAGGUAUCAGAAGUGCGAAUGCUGACAUAAGUAACGAUAAAGCGGGUGAAAAGCCCGCUCGCCGGAAGACCAAGGGUUCCUGUCCAACGUUAAUCGGGGCAGGGUGAGUCGACCCCUAAGGCGAGGCCGAAAGGCGUAGUCGAUGGGAAACAGGUUAAUAUUCCUGUACUUGGUGUUACUGCGAAGGGGGGACGGAGAAGGCUAUGUUGGCCGGGCGACGGUUGUCCCGGUUUAAGCGUGUAGGCUGGUUUUCCAGGCAAAUCCGGAAAAUCAAGGCUGAGGCGUGAUGACGAGGCACUACGGUGCUGAAGCAACAAAUGCCCUGCUUCCAGGAAAAGCCUCUAAGCAUCAGGUAACAUCAAAUCGUACCCCAAACCGACACAGGUGGUCAGGUAGAGAAUACCAAGGCGCUUGAGAGAACUCGGGUGAAGGAACUAGGCAAAAUGGUGCCGUAACUUCGGGAGAAGGCACGCUGAUAUGUAGGUGAAGUCCCUCGCGGAUGGAGCUGAAAUCAGUCGAAGAUACCAGCUGGCUGCAACUGUUUAUUAAAAACACAGCACUGUGCAAACACGAAAGUGGACGUAUACGGUGUGACGCCUGCCCGGUGCCGGAAGGUUAAUUGAUGGGGUCAGCGCAAGCGAAGCUCUUGAUCGAAGCCCCGGUAAACGGCGGCCGUAACUAUAACGGUCCUAAGGUAGCGAAAUUCCUUGUCGGGUAAGUUCCGACCUGCACGAAUGGCGUAAUGAUGGCCAGGCUGUCUCCACCCGAGACUCAGUGAAAUUGAACUCGCUGUGAAGAUGCAGUGUACCCGCGGCAAGACGGAAAGACCCCGUGAACCUUUACUAUAGCUUGACACUGAACAUUGAGCCUUGAUGUGUAGGAUAGGUGGGAGGCUUAGAAGUGUGGACGCCAGUCUGCAUGGAGCCGACCUUGAAAUACCACCCUUUAAUGUUUGAUGUUCUAACGUUGACCCGUAAUCCGGGUUGCGGACAGUGUCUGGUGGGUAGUUUGACUGGGGCGGUCUCCUCCUAAAGAGUAACGGAGGAGCACGAAGGUUGGCUAAUCCUGGUCGGACAUCAGGAGGUUAGUGCAAUGGCAUAAGCCAGCUUGACUGCGAGCGUGACGGCGCGAGCAGGUGCGAAAGCAGGUCAUAGUGAUCCGGUGGUUCUGAAUGGAAGGGCCAUCGCUCAACGGAUAAAAGGUACUCCGGGGAUAACAGGCUGAUACCGCCCAAGAGUUCAUAUCGACGGCGGUGUUUGGCACCUCGAUGUCGGCUCAUCACAUCCUGGGGCUGAAGUAGGUCCCAAGGGUAUGGCUGUUCGCCAUUUAAAGUGGUACGCGAGCUGGGUUUAGAACGUCGUGAGACAGUUCGGUCCCUAUCUGCCGUGGGCGCUGGAGAACUGAGGGGGGGCUGCUCCUAGUACGAGAGGACCGGAGUGGACGCAUCACUGGUGUUCGGGUUGUCAUGCCAAUGGCACUGCCCGGUAGCUAAAUGCGGAAGAGAUAAGUGCUGAAAGCAUCUAAGCACGAAACUUGCCCCGAGAUGAGUUCUCCCUGACCCUUUAAGGGUCCUGAAGGAACGUUGAAGACGACGACGUUGAUAGGCCGGGUGUGUAAGCGCAGCGAUGCGUUGAGCUAACCGGUACUAAUGAACCGUGAGGCUUAACCUU